Molecule: ribosomal RNA, 530 nt
Filed under: Bifidobacterium longum subsp. suillum
Lineage: Bacteria; Bacillati; Actinomycetota; Actinomycetes; Bifidobacteriales; Bifidobacteriaceae
Description: bacterial SSU rRNA
Rfam family: Bacterial small subunit ribosomal RNA
Source: RNAcentral
UAAUGCCGGAUGUUCCAGUUGAUCGCAUGGUCUUCUGGGAAAGCUUUCGCGGUAUGGGAUGGGGUCGCGUCCUAUCAGCUUGACGGCGGGGUAACGGCCCACCGUGGCUUCGACGGGUAGCCGGCCUGAGAGGGCGACCGGCCACAUUGGGACUGAGAUACGGCCCAGACUCCUACGGGAGGCAGCAGUGGGGAAUAUUGCACAAUGGGCGCAAGCCUGAUGCAGCGACGCCGCGUGAGGGAUGGAGGCCUUCGGGUUGUAAACCUCUUUUAUCGGGGAGCAAGCGUGAGUGAGUUUACCCGUUGAAUAAGCACCGGCUAACUACGUGCCAGCAGCCGCGGUAAUACGUAGGGUGCAAGCGUUAUCCGGAAUUAUUGGGCGUAAAGGGCUCGUAGGCGGUUCGUCGCGUCCGGUGUGAAAGUCCAUCGCUUAACGGUGGAUCCGCGCCGGGUACGGGCGGGCUUGAGUGCGGUAGGGGAGACUGGAAUUCCCGGUGUAACGGUGGAAUGUGUAGAUAUCGGAAAAAAACA